GAUGAACGCUGGCGGCGUGCCUAAUACAUGCAAGUCGAACGAGCGGACGAGAGCCUUGUUUCUCAAAUGUUUGCCGCGGACGGGUGAGUAACACGUGGAUAACCUCCCUAUAAGACUGGGAUAACUUCGGGAAACCGGAUCUAAUACCGGAUGAUAACGUGAACCGCAUGGGUCAAGGGUGAAAGACCGUCUUGCUUUCACAUAUCGAUGGAUCCGCGCUGCAUGAUCUAGUUGGUAAGGUAACGCCAUACCAAGGCAACGAUGCUGACCCGCCCGGAGAGGGUGGUUGGCCAGACUGGAGCUGAGACACGGCCGAGACUCUUACGGGAGGCAGCAGUAGGGACUCUUACGCAAUGGGGGAAAGGGUGAUGGAGCAAAGCGGGGGGAGUGAUGAAGGUGUUAGGCUCGGAAAACUCUGUUAUUAGGGAGGAUCAUAUGUGUAAGUAUCUGGGAAGAUCAUGACGGUACCUAACCAGAAAGCGACGGCUAACUACGUG
RNAcentral lists this ribosomal RNA (497 nucleotides) under uncultured bacterium. Its description in RNAcentral is "partial 16S ribosomal RNA". It matches the Rfam family "Bacterial small subunit ribosomal RNA", at positions 28 to 507 of the family's 1533-position model. The record is from RNAcentral.